This is a small nucleolar RNA of Chiloscyllium plagiosum (whitespotted bambooshark), 131 nucleotides long. RefSeq annotates it as small nucleolar RNA U109. The record is from RefSeq and is a predicted model, not a curated record. NCBI's taxonomy places the organism in Eukaryota, Metazoa, Chordata, Chondrichthyes, Orectolobiformes, Hemiscylliidae.
AGUCAAGUCUGAUUUCUGCUCCUUACUCAAUAAGGAGUUUGAUAUUUCAACAACGUGCGAGAGUGAAUGAGGACAGCAGGGCCGUUGGUCUUAAAAGACAGGCUAAACGGUAGUAUAAGUCUGCAACAUGA